UGAUUUAGCAAAAUGAUUCUGUUCUCUAUGUUGCAAAAUAGGCAUUCUCAUCGAAACCUAAAGCAUUCCCAAAGCUACUGACUAAACAACAGUGAAAAUUUUGAAGAAUUUGCAUGUUCAUAGUAAAAACUACAUGCAAUUUACUUCUCCAAAAUGACUCUGUGAAGAACACUAUCUUAUUCUAUUAACCUUCUCAAUGACCAAAAAGAAAAACUCGAGAAGAACAUAGAGCCAUGUUUGCUGCCUGGAUUCGAAAGUUAGGUGGUCCAAUUGGGUCAAACAGUGCGAGCAAUACGUCAAUGGCUGCUUCAGGUCACAUAGACCUUUGUCCAUUGGGUGCCAACCUUGUCAAAUAUUGACAUCUUGUUUGUCAAGUUGUCUGAGAGAAUCACAGUUAAUCCAAGCGCUCAAGACAAAACUCAGUCCAUAUGCAGACGGGGAAAAGAGAUACAUCCCUACCCCCCCCGGGAGCAAGCGAGGAAAGCCAGCAGCCAUUUGCUUUCUCCCACUCUUCCUCUUCUCCUUCCCUACCCACACCUACUCCCGCAGCUGGGUUCAGAGAACAGCAACUGAGCUCUUGCCUGAGAUCCGUAGGGUGGAAGAGUUAUAUGGGCUUUCGAUGAUUGUGAGAGAACGGCAAGAGAAGGAACGAUGUUGUCGAUUCUUUUCCUGUAUGAGAUCGGGUUGUCCCCUCAAAGGAAGAAGAGCUGAUCAUGGUGCAAGCACGAAGGUGACAAAUGGUUGUGCCUGGCUCCUUGUAUGCCACACAUGGACACCAAUCUUUGGGUGAUUGGUGACUGUGGGUGGUGUGCAAGGAGCCAAGCAUGCCUCUUCUCUCUCUCUCUCUCUCUCCCUCUCUCUGUAUAUAAUAUAUGUCUAUCUCUUUAUUUUUCUCUCUAAAACACACGAAUCAUUUCAUUCAUUUCACUCCGCAGAGGUUCUCUCUGAGAGCACUAUAAUGUUCUCUCUGGUGUAUGCUUAUUUUAUUUGUCGAGAUGGUUCAGAAGAAGUGGAUGAAAUCUGUCUUUGCAUCAUAACUUUCUGUUGUAAUGAAGCAUUCUCUCUCU
This is a long non-coding RNA of Musa acuminata AAA Group (dessert banana), 1067 nucleotides long. RefSeq lists it as uncharacterized. The record is from RefSeq and is a predicted model, not a curated record. Lineage: Eukaryota; Viridiplantae; Streptophyta; Magnoliopsida; Zingiberales; Musaceae. The transcript has 2 exons.